Molecule: long non-coding RNA, 7770 nt
Filed under: Salmo salar (Atlantic salmon)
Lineage: Eukaryota; Metazoa; Chordata; Actinopteri; Salmoniformes; Salmonidae
Description: lncRNA (ENSSSAG00000102544.1)
Source: RNAcentral
UGAAAAUGGGUCCCACAGACCCGAACACCACACACGGGUUAAGUAUGUAGUAUACAGUAUGCUAGUAUGGGUAUUCGAACUCAGCUUUUGUCUCUCCCGCAUAUCUGGUCGGUCAUUUACCACCCUGUGGUCGAUGGUGUAAUUGCAACAUAUUUUACUGAGUGCAGACGCAAGCACGAGGAAACGGCUAUACCUACAAUGCCUGGAAUGCUACGAAACACCAGAAAUAGUUGUUGUCAUUUCUUUGGCUGUGUGCACAAACGUGAUUUCAGCAUUUAGAAACAUCGCCUAUUGUGUUAUAUCAGUCAGACGUUUAAAAAGUCAAAGUAUAAAUCAUUUCUAUCGUGUUGCAUGAUGGGAAAAUAGUCUGACAGCGAUAUAAUCUAAUAAAACCAAAGUAGUCGCUUUUCCCUCGCUCUGUCCACAACUGCGAUCAUAAACGUCAUUAAACCCGGGAUGGCUUCCUGGAUUCCCCCAAGCAGCUGAUUGGUCUGCCUCAUUGAUGAUUGGAAAGCUGACCCCUCCCCCUCGUCAGGAUACAGCGGUAUCCCAUUACAGACUCCUUCUCCAGCUAUAUAAGCCUGGUUCUGUUGCUCAGAAGAGAAAUGAUGAGUGUGUCCUGUGUUGGUUGUUUCUCAGAGAGAGCUGAUGGUUAUGUUCUGUGUUGGUUGUUGUUUCUCAGAGAGAGCUGAUGGUUAUGUUCUGUGUUGGUUGUUGUUUCUCAGAGAGCUUAUUGGUUAUGUUCUGUGUUGGUUGUUGUUUCUCAGAGAGCUUAUUGGUUAUGUUCUGUGUUGGUUGUUGUUUCUCAGAGAGAGCUGAUGGUUAUGUUCUGUGUUGGUUGUUUCUCAGAGAGCUUAUUGGUUAUGUUCUGUGUUGGUUGUUGUUUCUCAGAGAGAGCUUAUUGGUUAUGUUCUGUGUUGGUUGUUGUUUCUCAGAGAGAGCUUAUUAGUUUGUCCUGUUUUUGCUGAGACAUGUUUUUGUUAAGUACUUUGUAGCCGCUGCUUCUAAGGUAUGUGUCCCCAUAGGACGCAGAGUUUUUGAUUAUUGAAAUUGUUACGUUUGUAUUUUUCUGUUUCAGUUGUUCCCAGGGGGAAGGGGAAGGCACCUAGGGAGUGCUUAGGCAAGAGGCCCGCGGGCAUACAUAACCUGUAGUAUUCACUGUCUAUGCACACUAGGUAAGACCUGUGCGGACCACCCCCUGUAUUUUGGUUAGCGCACCAGGUGGCGCUAAGAUUAGGUAAGUAGUGGGUAUGCAGAUAAGGUAGGAGAGGGGAGCUUUGACAUUUACUUUCUUUGCUUUGGUUCCGUUCAGCCCCUUUUCCCCAAAUUUACCGUUUGAAGGAAGCAAUAAAUUCUGAGUAAACGGUCAAUUCUUUACCUUUGUCAUCCUUACUCGCACCUACAGUCCCAUACCUCUUCCUGGAGGUGUAUGUAACAGCGCCCUAUCUCCGAAACUAAGUAGUCGGCCAGGUUAGUACUUGGAUGGGAAUACUGUGCUGUAAACUUCUCAAUUUGACCAGUAGAGGUAGCUAUAAAGAGUAGUUUUCACAUUUUAUCAGACCAACUGCAUAUUAUUUAUUACGUUAACAGAUAUGUGCAUUCAAUACAUGCCUUUUCUGGUUCCCUUGAUGUUCAAAGCUAAUGAUUUUGUCAUGUUGCCACUGUUUCGCCAAUGGUGGUGCCGAUCUCUUAAACUGUGUUUGACUCAAAUGAACAGGUUUUGGGUAUGUACUAUCGUUGCAGUCCGAACAACAUAUCAGAACUGUUGACUGUAUGAAAUCGAUUGAAUAAUGGAGUAGGAAUAAGAGCAAAGUGUUGGGGUGCCUGUAAGUCACAUCAAAUGUGUACUGAACUGCAGUGCUCCAUUGUUUACACAGCCAUACCACCCAGGGUUGCUGUAUGCUUUUUGGUUUAUAGAUGGCGCCCUUGUACUGUAUUACAUUAUCCCAAGUGAAGAUUAAGAUCAUGUAAAGACCUACCGGUAAUUGGAUGUGUGUAUGUCCAGUUGCUCUACUGAAUGAAGGUACCGUAUUUCUUUACUCAUCCAUGUAUGUUGCGAAGGCUACAUUGUCCCAAUUCCCAAUACGUUAGCCUAAUGCAAUAUGUUCUAAAAGCUUUGUACAAAUUACAAAUCUGCAAUAAUUAGAUCUAGAUCAGUAAUCGGCUCUCUGACAGAAUAAAGGAUGCAGUGUUCUGGUGUCAGGAUGUCAACGGAGUGUAAGCCUACUAAACCUCUGAGGUGCCUCCUGAGUCCAGGCAGGGCAUGGGAAUAGGGUGAGGAAUGCAGGGAAUGUUAAUGAGCCCAGUGGAAGUGCGUCAGCCCGGGUUUAUUAUGAUCACGUAAUGACCUCACUGCAGAGAGAGUGAGACCACCUGACUCUCCAAUGGGCCGUGUUUCAUUCCAAUCAAUUAUCCCCUCAUCACUUCUGCCCUCGCUCACUCCCCUUCAUGAGUUAUUGAAUUGGACUGAAUAGGUGAAAGCAGCUGGAUCCGCCUGUUGAGUAUUACUGCUGUAGUGGUACUCAUGACCUAGACAGAUGUAGGACUGUAGUUGAUAACAUCAGAUAGCAUCGCACUAGGCCUCCGGUCUUGCUCACUUCUUCAUGUUAAUCUGUUGCCAUUGGUUUCCCACUUGUGGGUCUGUGUAUAUGCAUGUCUACAUGAAAAGAGGGAUGGGUGGAGGGAGGGAGGCAGUAGGGGAACAAGCUAAACAACAAAUGUUGCUGAUGGAGGACUUGUGCUGUGCUGACCAUCCCACCAUCAUUCAUGACUGCACAGUGUCCAUCACUGUCAAUCUCUGACCUAGCCUGACCUGUAGACAGUAAUAGUCAUAGCCCUAUUGUAUUACUCCCUUCCUUCCUGUAUGUCAUCACUACACUCUUAGAAGAAGAAAAAGCUAUCAAGAACCUAAAAUUGUUCCUCGGCUGUCCCCAUAGUAUAAGCCUUUGAAGAACCCUUUUUGGUUCCAGGUAAAAUCCCUUUGGUUCCAGGUAGAACCUUUUAGGGUUCUACAUGGAACCCAAAAGGGUUCUACUUGGAACCAAAAAGGGUUCUGUAAGAGUGUACGGCCAGGAGUUUUGUGGCACUUUUUGAGACACUGCGCUUUUACCAGUAUUCCAGCAUGAUCCACUAGGUUUGCUGUAGGCAGAACAUCCUAGGAAAGGUUCUUUAACCCCCUAGCGUCAAUUUCCUCACCCCCGUGGAAAUUGAAUUAGCAUAAUAAAAAUAUCCCCAUUAAAAAUCUGUCAGUUUAAGCUAGAGAUAUUGUGUUUUUUUGCAUUGGAGGCGUCUCAAUCCACUGCGUCAGCUUAUGUCACACUUCCGCAUCUGCGGUGAAAGAGCUAGAGCGUUGUUUGUCAGACCAUGAGACAUCCUGAGAGUCAGUCUUCUCAUCAAAUCGUCUGUAGCGUUCGAACGGUUUGGCCUAGAAACUUUGUGCUACACACUAUGACCCCUCUGUGCAAAGGUGAGACUCUCACAAACAUGUACAUGUUAUUGUUAUUCAAUGCGUUUAUAUGGGCUAAUAACAGUAAGGCCAAAAAUAAUUAUUUAUAAAAAAAAGUUUUAUUUUUUAUUAUUACUUCAAUGGGUUUAAAAAAAAUCUUAAUCAAAUAGCUAAAUGAUCCUUGGUAUGACAUUCUUAAAACAAUUCCAUAUAUCUUAGUAGAACCCCCCCCCCCCACAUGAAAAGAGGGAUGGGUGGAGAAAAGAGGGAUGGGUGGAGGGAGGGAGGCAGUAGGAGAACAAGCUAAACAACAAAUGUUGCUGAUGGAGGACUUGUGCUGUGCUGACCAUCAUCCCAACAUCAUUCAUGACUCUGCACAGUGACCAUCACUGUCCGACUCUGAACCUAGCCUGACCUGUAGACGGUAAUAAUCAUAGCCCUAUUGCAUUAAUCUUUCCCUUCCUUCUUUCCUGUAUGUCAUCACUACACUCUUAGAAAAAAAUACCUUCUUAAAACAAUUCCAUAUAGCUUUGUAGAGAUUUGUCACACUAACCACGUUUCCAUCUACAGAUUUUAUGCGAGUAAACUCAUACAGAACUGUAAAAAAAAUCAUGACAGCUGUGAUGGCAACAGGACGUUUCAGUACAAUUUUAUAAAUGCAGACAUAAUUUGUUAGUUCAACAUGGUGGGAUCUUUUUUGUGAAAAUGUAUAAUGCGUGAAAUGGUGGUGGGAAUGUCUUUAUGCGCAGAUAUUGAUAUAAUAACCAUCAUAUCGAAGUGAACUUGGAGUCACUGAUGCCAUGUUGUGUGGUCCUUAUUCUGGUGACAUGAUGAUCAAUGCUUGACUGCCAGUUGACAUACAAAUAUUCUUGCUUUUAUCCAUGAUACUCGCAUCAUGUAGACUAGCUUACCUGCACAGCCUACUCGCACUGUAGGCCUAUUUGCAAGCUAUUGGCUAGAGCGCACAUGCCAAGACCAGAGUGGGCACAUUUGAUAUUUAACGCAGUAGUUUUUGUGACAAAACUAUUGGUAGAGUUUAAAAUGUAAUGGAAACACAUUGACCUUCAGAUUUUUAUUUGGUGCAUGAAAACUUAUGUACCAAAAAGUACAUUCUGUGUCCACUAUGUCAUAUAUUUUCUUUAUGCAUAUUCUAGAAUGUUCACAUGAAAAUCUGUUGGAUAGAAAUCUAGCUAUAGUGAAAUAUCAGACAGGCCCAGGUACCUACUGUUUUCUUGUUUUGUCAAAGUUGAGGUGAAGACCCUCGAGGCCCUGACCUGUUGAUCAAUGCAAUGCUUCGGGUUUUGAUCUUAGUGCAUUGAAUUUUUUAUAUUGUAGUAUUCCCUGCUAAAACCAGACAUUGACUGACUGAUUGGAGACAGCUUGUGUCAAUUACAGAACAUUUCCUAGGAUUUCCAACCUGCACCAACACUAGUGGACAAUGCUGGAGAUACCGGUAAAAGCACAGUGCCUCAAUAUUGCCCUAAAACUCCUGUCCUUAGUCAUCACUGAUCUGACAUGGCUGGGCUAUGUGUCUGUGUUUGUGUGAGACAGAGAGACACAACACACAAAGACUUAUAGCUUGCUUUACACACACACACUCAUCUCAUAGGAGAUCUCUCAUAUCUUCAGCCACCUGGUUGGUAUGCGUGCUGUGUCCCAGUCCUCUCUUCUCAUGUAGAGUCAUGAGCCUCCUCUCUCCUUCUGACACAUCUAAUCACUUCACUAAAUCAUAUCAAUGAGAGCCUGAGAGACUAAUACCUCUCAUCUGACACCUCACUGCCCUUAUAGACGGGUUGGUUGUUUAACAACAAAACCAAUGCUUCCGCAACUAUGAGGCAAAACAGACAGGGUUGGCUUAGGUUGUUGACAUAAAUACAUUUGCAUAAUGAGCACUAGUUGUUGUCUCAAUUACAUCAUUACAGUUGGUGAUUAGCUAGCUAGCGAAUUUUUGACAUAUUAGCAUAGACGUUACAUCAGUCAAGACACCUCAAAACAAGACAUGAUAUCAAGAACAACAUACAACUAGGUGAAAAUAGCCACCUAUGAUUCCCCACAUGGAAGCUAUUUGUCAUUUGUUGCUAGCUAUGUGGCCAUCCAGAAUCACUACACACGGACUUCUGCCUCAUUGAAGCGUGUGCAUCGUUUUCAUGACGUUGUCAGCUAACCCAUCUAUCAAUUAGUUUUCCACCUUUUUCUCUCCUUUUUUAUGACAGUGUCCUUUCUUCCCCCACGUCACUUCUUGUAUUUCUCUCUUUAAUUGUGUCCUUUUUAAUAUUUUACACCUUUCAAUCCUUUUCUCUCUCUCUUUCUUGAGUGAUGUCUUGUCUAUGACUUGUCUGUCAUCUCUGGCUCUAUUCCUCUGCAACCAUCCCUGACAAACAGCCGGAAGAUGCCAGAGACACAAACUCUACAGAAUUAUCAUUGAAGGUGUGUUUGUGUGUGUGUCCAGGGUCACAUUGCCUCUAUAAUCUAUAGUAAUCUCCUGAACAUGAUGGUCGGCAGCAGGAGAUGUAAUGCUCUUAAAGUUGAUCAGACCUUAUCUCCGUCUCACGCUGUCUCUCUCCAAUCUCUCUCUUGUCCGAUACGAUUACUAAUUCUUAGUCACCUUUGGUCUUACCUUGGAGCAGAAAUGUUCUUCCAACCAAAAGCUAUGGACUAUCUCCCAUAAGAAGCUUGUGUGUGUGUGUGUGCAUGUGACCUACAGUGAGGUCCAAAAGUAUUUUGACAGUGACACAUUUUUUUUAUUGUUUUGGCUCUGUACACCAGCACUAUUGAAAUUGUAGAAUGACUGAGGUUAAAGUGCAGACUGUCAGCUUUAAUGUGAGGAUAUUGUCAUCCAUAUCGGGUGAACCAUUUAGAAAUUACAGCACUUUUUGUACAUUGUCCACCAUUUUAGGGAACCAAAAGUAUUUGGACAUAUUCUCUUAUGUGUAUUAAAGUAGUCAAAAGUUUAGUAUUUGGUCCCAUAUUCAUAGCACACAAUGACUAUAUCAGGCUUGUGACUCAUGUAUUGCGUCAUUUUGAAGUCACUUUUAUUGUAAAUAACAAUAUAUUUCUAAACACUUCUACAUUAAUGUGGAUGCUACCAUGAUUAUGGAUAAUCCUGAAGGAAUCAUGAAUGAUGAUGAGUGAGAAAGUUACAUAGGCAUAAAUAUCAUACCCCCAAAAGUGCUAACCUCCCCUGUUAUUGGUAAUGGUGGCGCAAGGCUCUCGAAAGGGUGGCGCGGUCUGCACAACGCAUCACCGGGGGCAAACUACCUGCCCUCCAUGACACCUACAACACCCGUUGUCACAGGAAGGCCAAAAAGAUCAUCAAGGACAACAACCACCCGAGCCACUGCCUGUUCACACCGCUAUCAUCCAGAAGAGGACCUGAGCCCUAGGACCAUGCCUCAGGACUACCUGGCUUGAUGACUCCUUGCUGUCUCCAGUUCACCUGGCCGUGCUGCUGCUCCAGUUCCAACUGUUCUGCCUGCAGCUAUGGAACCCUGACCUGUUCACCGGACGUGCUACCUGUCCCAGAGAUGCUGUCCCAGACCUGCUGGAACCCUGACCUAUUCACCGGAUGUGCUACCUGUCCCAGACCUGCGGUUUUUAACUCUCUAGAGACAGCAGGAGCGGUAGAGAUACUCUCAAAGAUCGGCUAUAAAAAAGCCAACUGACACUCUUGUGUUACUGACUUGUUGCACCCUCGACAACUACUAUGAUUAUUAUUAUUUGACCAUGCUGGUCAUUUAUGACCAUUUGAACAUCUAGGCCAUGUGCUGUUAUAAUCUCCACCCGGCACAGCCAGAAGAGGACUGGCCACCCCUCAUAGCCUGGUUCCUCUCUAGGUUUCUUCCUAGGUUUUGGCCUUUCAUGGGAGUUUUUCCUAGCCACCGUGCUUCUACACCUGCAUUGCUUGCUGUUUGGGGUUUUAGGCUGGGUUUCUGUACAGCACUUUGAGAUAUCAGCUGAUGUAAGAAGGGCUAUAUAAAUACAUUUGAUUUGAUUUACUCAUCUCACAUGUAUAUACUGUACUUUAUAUAAUCUACUGCACCUUGCAUAUGCCGCUCAGCCAUCGCUCAUCCAUAUAUUUAUAGGUAAAUAUUUUCAUUCACCCCUUUAGAUUUGUGUGUAUUAGAUAGUUGGUGGGGUAUUGUUAGAUUACUUGUUAGAUUUGUGUGUAUAAGGUAGUUGUUGGGAAUUGUUAGAUAUUACUUGUUAGAUAUUACUGCACUGUUGGAACUAGAAGCACAAGCAUUUCGCUACACUCGCAUUAACGUCUGCUAACCAUGUGUAUGUGACCAAUAAAAUUUGAUUUGAUGAGGCAAUAGCUACACUUG